This 1055-nucleotide ribosomal RNA is filed under the name uncultured marine rappemonad. RNAcentral's name for it is "bacterial SSU rRNA". It matches the Rfam family "Bacterial small subunit ribosomal RNA", at positions 211 to 1283 of the family's 1533-position model. The record is from RNAcentral.
GCAAGUGCCUGAAGACGAGCUCGCGUCUGAUUAGCUAGUUGGUGGGGUAAAGGCCCACCAAGGCGACGAUCAGUAGCUGGUUUGAGAGAACGAUCAGCCACACUGGAACUGAGACACGGUCCAGACUCCUGCGGGAGGCAGCAGUGGGGAAUUUUCCGCAAUGGGCGAAAGCCUGACGGAGCAAUACCGCGUGAGGGAUUAAGGCCUGUGGGUUGUAAACCUCUUUUCUCAAGGAAGAAUCAAUGACGGUACUUGAGGAAUAAGCAUCGGCUAACUCCGUGCCAGCAGCCGCGGUAAUACGGGGGAUGCAAGCGUUAUCCGGAAUUAUUGGGCGUAAAGGGUCUGUAGGUGGCUAGAUAAGUCUGUUGUUAAAGACUGGGGCUUAACCCCAGGAAAGCAAUGGAAACUGUUAAGCUAGAGUGUGGUAGAGGUAGAGGGAAUUCCUAGUGUAGCGGUGAAAUGCGUAGAUAUUAGGAAGAACACCGGUGGCGAAGGCGCUCUACUGGGCCAUAACUGACACUCAGAGACGAAAGCUAGGGUAGCAAAUGGGAUUAGAUACCCCAGUAGUCCUAGCCGUAAACGAUGGAUACUAGAUGUUGCGUAACUUGAUUAUGCAGUGUUUUAGCUAACGCGUUAAGUAUCCCGCCUGGGGAGUACACUCGCAAGGGUGAAACUCAAAGGAAUUGACGGGGGCCCGCACAAGCGGUGGAGCAUGUGGUUUAAUUUGAUGCAACGCGAAGAACCUUACCAAGGCUUGACAUGUCACGAAUCUUCUUGAGAGGGAAGAGUGCCUUCGGGAACGUGAACACAGGUGGUGCAUGGCUGUCGUCAGCUCGUGUCGUGAGAUGUUGGGUUAAGUCCCGCAACGAGCGCAACCCUUGUCUUUAGUUACCAUCAUUUAGUUGGGGACUCUAGAGAGACUGCCGGUGACAAACCGGAGGAAGGUGAGGACGACGUCAAGUCAGCAUGCCCCUUAUGCCUUGGGCUACACACGUGCUACAAUGGCUAAGACAAAGAGCAGCAAGCUUGCAAAAGUUAGCGAAUCUCAUAAACUU